Astyanax mexicanus (Mexican tetra) is the source of this 920-nucleotide long non-coding RNA. RefSeq lists it as uncharacterized. NCBI's taxonomy places the organism in Eukaryota, Metazoa, Chordata, Actinopteri, Characiformes, Acestrorhamphidae. The transcript has 2 exons. The record is from RefSeq and is a predicted model, not a curated record.
GGCAUGGGUGGUAUUGGUGUUCUGAGGUCAGAAAUUGAUUCUACAUGACUGACAGACUCGCACAUCAACAGAUGAGCUUCAAUAUAAAGCUAUUUAUCAAAUGGGUGCAGCCAAAAAAGGCUUUCUGAUGAGGUUGAUGCAGAAUAUACUGUAUUAAAACAGUUCUGAAACUUUUAAAUUUAACAUACUUUGACUUGUUUCACAUCUGUGAUUUAUUUAUAGACAUGCUGGAACCUUACUGGAAGGACAGACACCUCUUAAAGAUGAUGCAGUGACCACUGAUUUAAUGAUUGCUAACAAGAUCCUUGAGUGGAACUAUCAUGUCUUCAAAGACUGGAUUCUUGGAAUUUGUGUCCAUCACAUGAUACCUUUGAAGAUGGCUGACAUUCAUGAUGAACUGUAUUUAGUAAUGGCUAUGGUUGAGUGAAUUGAGAUUUGAAAUAUGUGCAGUGCAUAUAUGCAUUCUACAGAUGAAUGAGGUAGAAAUUGGUCCUGCUUGUCCUGUUCCUGUUAUUUUGGAUGCACAUUUAUUAUAAAAGUUUACAAAUGGGGUGUAGGGGUGUAAAUAAAUAUUGAUCUUUAAUGUGGUUUGCAAUUGUGAUUUUACUGUGUCAAUUUUGUAAAAAAGUAUCAUUUAAUUUAAAAAUUAUAUUAUCUAUUUUAUCUAUAUAAUAUUGCAUUGUGAUCAGGUUUCUAGAUAGCGGUACAUUUGUCUUUGGAUCCCACUGUUCUGAUUUGUUAAAAUUUGACCGAAUGUUUAUACAAUGAUGGCAUUAUUAUAAUUAAUUUGGAGUCUAUUGUAAAACAACCCCCAUAUUGUAAUCUGUAUCAUAUCACCGCCAUAGUAACCCUUUUCUUUUGUCAGUUGUCAUGAUUUGUUUCAACUGUAAAAUAUGUGAAAAAUAAAGAUUGAAAAUAUA